Molecule: long non-coding RNA, 544 nt
Filed under: Helianthus annuus (common sunflower)
Lineage: Eukaryota; Viridiplantae; Streptophyta; Magnoliopsida; Asterales; Asteraceae
Description: sRNA HanXRQr2_Chr07g0311141
Source: RNAcentral
UUGUUGAACUUGAACAUGACCCAUUAUCUUUGUUUGUGUCAAAGACAUUCACCCUAGCCCGGACAUACUUAAAAUCAUGUAAACUGAACACGGCCUGUUUAACCCGUUUAUCAAAACGAGUCAAUCGGGUUGUAAAAGGGUUAUAAUCUAGUUGUAAACGUGCUUAAAUCAUGUAAACCGGACACAACCCGUUCAACCCGUUUAUCAAAACGAGUCAAACGGGUUGUAAUCAAAUUGUAAACGUGUUAAACACAGUGGCAAGUUGUAACAAAUGGGUUAAUCGGGUUGGCUGGUUGAUUGGGAGCUUUUAAAACGGGUUGGUUGAUAUGUUUGAUUAAGGGUAUGUUUGGCAAAACUAGCUGCUGGUGGCUGGUAGCUGUAGCUGGUAGCUAGUAGCUGUAGCUUUUUAGAUAUAUUUGGUGUUUGGUAGAGUAGCUAGAGCUUUUAAUAAAAUGUAUAAAAUUACCAAAAUGAACAUAACUAAAAAUUUAGAAAGUUGGUGAAUUAAAAAGUUUCUUAUUUUGAGAGGUUAAAAUAGUCAUUU